GGAGCUUGUCCCACUUCACCCGGAACGCGCCCGAUCUCAUCUGAUCUCGGAAGCUAAGCAGGGUCCGGCCUGGUUAGUACUUGUAUGGGAGACCACUUCCCCAGCUGCGCACACUUCC
Molecule: ribosomal RNA, 118 nt
Organism: Cricetulus griseus (Chinese hamster)
Lineage: Eukaryota; Metazoa; Chordata; Mammalia; Rodentia; Cricetidae
Source: Ensembl